This 1530-nucleotide ribosomal RNA is filed under the name Triticum aestivum (bread wheat). RNAcentral describes it as "partial small subunit ribosomal RNA". The record is from RNAcentral. Lineage: Eukaryota; Viridiplantae; Streptophyta; Magnoliopsida; Poales; Poaceae.
AUGGCCGAUCUCCUGUACCAAUCCAUCAUACUCUCCGUCGUCGCGGUGGUGCUACUCCAGGUCCUCAAGCUCCGCGUCCGGCCGAGGGCGAGGACGCCGCCGGGCCCGUGGAGGCUGCCGGUCAUCGGCAGCAUGCACCACCUCCUGAACGUGCUCCCGCACCGCGCCCUCAGGGACCUGGCGGCUGUGCACGGCCCGCUCAUGAUGCUCCAGCUAGGGCAGACCCCUCUGGUGGUGGUGUCGUCGCGGGAGAUGGCCCGCGAGGUGCUCAGGACGCACGACGCCAGCUUCGCCACCCGCCCCAAGCUCCUCGUCGGCGAGGUCGUCCUCUACAGCUACACCGACAUCCUCUUCUCGCCCUCCGGCACCUACUGGCGCAAGCUCCGGCAGCUCUGCGCCGCCGAGAUACUCAGCCCGAGCCGCGUCCUCUCCUUCCGCCACAUCAGGGAGCAGGAGGUGAAGAAUCAGGUAGAAGACAUCCAUGGGGUCGGGCCAUCGACGCCGGUGGACGCCACCGCGAUUUUCUCCGGCCUAGCAAUCAGCAUCAUCUCCCGCGCGUCCUUCGGGAACAAGCAGAGGAACGCACGGGAGUUCCUGUCGGCGGUCAAGACCGGGGUCACGCUCGCCAGCGGCUUCAAGAUCCCCGACCUCUUCCCGGCAUGGCGGUCCGUGCUCGCCAGGGCGACCGGCAUGCGCCGCGCCUUGGAGGACGUCCACGGGACGAUCGACUCAAGCCUGGACGAGGUCAUAGCAGAGAGGAAAUGCGUCCGGCAGGACAAGGCCAGGUCCGGCGGCGCGCCGGCCGCCGUCGAGGAGAACCUCGUCGACGUUCUCAUCGGCCUGCAGGAGAAAGGCGGGCCGCUGCACCGCCUGAGCACCAACAGCAUCAAGGGCGUCAUAGUCGACAUGUUCGUGGCCGGGACCGGCACGAUAUCGUCGUCGCUGGACUGGGGCAUGGCGGAGCUGAUGCGGAGCCCGAGGGUGAUGGGCAAGCUACAGCGCGAGCUCCGAGAGGCUUUUCCCGGCAGGACGGCCAUCAGCGAGCGCGACAUCGAUGCAGGCAGCCUCCCCUACCUGAAGCUCGUCAUCAAAGAGAACCUCCGGCUGCACCCGCCGGCGCCGCUCCUGGUCCCCCGGGAGAGCAUCCACGCAUGCGAGCUCGGCGGGUACGUGAUUCCGGCGGGCUCGCGCGUCAUCGUGAACGCGUGGGCCAUCGGGAGGGAUCCGAGGUACUGGGGGGACGACGCCGAGGAGUUCAAGCCCGAGCGUUUUGCGGACAGCUCCGUCGAUUUCACGGGGAGCAGCUACGAGUUCCUGCCGUUCGGGGCUGGCCGGAGGAUGUGCCCCGGCGUCUCGUACAGCCUCCCCUUCCUGCAGAUGGCGCUCGUGCAGCUCUGCUACCACUUUGACUGGUCUCUGCCAGAGGGCGUCGCCGUGGUGGACAUGACGGAGGCGGAUGGCCUCGGCCUACGCCGUAAGUCGCCGUUGCGGCUCUGUGCCACACCAUUCGUCCCCGAGUCUGCGUGUUAA